GGAUGAGGGAACACCAGUGCCGCCCACUAAAAGCACCCAGCAGGGACCCCUUUAGCCAGAGCUUGUGCAACCACAACCGAGUGGCGACCUCCAAUCAUAUAAAUCAUACUGAAAUCAAAAGCAACCUUGAGAAAACGCAAAAUCAGAGACCCAUGGAUGGCUAAGAACAUGAUAGAGUCAAAGAAGCGAACCCACACAGUCUGCCAACAGAGAG
RNAcentral lists this long non-coding RNA (214 nucleotides) under Manihot esculenta (cassava). Its description in RNAcentral is "long non-coding RNA (MESC_LNC010401)". The record is from RNAcentral. Lineage: Eukaryota; Viridiplantae; Streptophyta; Magnoliopsida; Malpighiales; Euphorbiaceae.